GAUCCUGGCUCAGGACGAACGCCGGCGGCGCGCCUAACACAUGCAAGUCGAACGAGAGAGAAGGAGCUUGCUUCUUCGAUCGAGUGGCGAACGGGUGAGUAACGCGUGAGGAACCUGCCUCAAAGAGGGGGACAACAGUUGGAAACGACUGCUAAUACCGCAUAAGCCCACGGGUCGGCAUCGACCUGAGGGAAAAGGAGCAAUCCGCUUUGAGAUGGCCUCGCGUCCGAUUAGCUAGUUGGUGAGG
Molecule: ribosomal RNA, 247 nt
Filed under: uncultured bacterium
Lineage: Bacteria
Description: partial 16S ribosomal RNA
Rfam family: Bacterial small subunit ribosomal RNA
Source: RNAcentral